UUAUGUUGAUUUCCAGGUUUCAUCUUCAAGGCUCGCACAAAAUGUCUAUUUGUUGAUGACUGUUGAUACAUGACUAAACCAAAACAUGGAAAAGCCAACAGGAAGCUCUAUGAAAAUGCUCCUCUUGAAAAAGCUGCUGAAGAGAUGUCUGCCAAGUCUGGCUGCACCAGAAGAGCAUGACAGCAGAAGGAUGAGAUCCACCCCUAAAGUACAAAGCUUCAGAUUAAGAAGAUGGACUUACUAUGUUUUUAAAGAAAACUUACCCAUGUAUUCGAGAGAUCCAUAUCUGUGUAAGAAGACUUAAGACGCAGUUGGUGACCACAGGAGCAACAGCCACCCCAGUGGCCUCCUUGGGUAAUUGGAAAAUCAACACCUGUCCAGGGAGGGUUUUCUGGAAACGGUUUCCAGGUCUUCCACAGUGGAACUCCAGCUUUGUAAGGAGACACUGUGUCUUCCAGGAUGUGCCCAUUUGAAGUGCUGGUUCUAUCCCCGGGUGCAGAAGGAGACUCCAGUCCAGCAUCCAGUUCUUCCCAUUUCCUUGCAUACAUGUCAACAUCUUUCUUCUCUUGGGAUUUGGUUAAUUUCACACAGGAUAGCAUUGUGUCAUCACCACCUGAUGAAUGAUGAAAGAACAUGAGUUAAAACUCAAGACUAAUGAUUCAUUACAUGUAGAAAGUGUAUGUACUGUGCUUUCUGUUUAAUAGACGUGGAUGAACAGCAUGGGAUAAGACAGGAGAUUGUUAAAUUUCACAAAGCAAUUUAUAAUCAUCUGAUUUGUUAAAAAAAUAAGUACUUUUGGUGUGCAAAGUUGUUUUAUAAAAGUCACAUUUUCCUCAAACUUUUUGAAAUGGUAUCUGUUGAUUAACAUUAAUAAGAUUUAAAUGAAUAGUCCUAUAUGCAAAGGGCAUAUUGAAAGACACUUGAGGAAAAACUACAAAUUAAAAAACAUAUUCACAUCCUAUAAGCAUAACUUGGAGUGUUUCUAUUCAUAAAUAUUUUAAAAUUUGAAGCCAUAUGUAUAAAAAAAUCAUCAUAAAGAAAUAAAUCAAAUCAUUUGCCUCACUUAAAGAACUGAAAUCCCUGUAGAUGGUACUAAAAUAAUAUUUGCAUUUAGAUUUUUCUAUUUUAAUAUUUUUCUUCAUCGAUAUUUUGCAUGAUAUAUAUCUCACUGAAAUAUUUUGCAAUAUCAAGAAAAAAUAUGGAAGAAAGCAGAAAAAGGUAGCACAUCUUCAGUAUUAUAAAGUGCAUUAGUAAGGUUUCUAUGUGAAAAGGUGGCAAUGAGUUUGAUGAAAUAGUCCUUGUCCUCAGGGGAUUGUUCCCAAGACCUUGUUGAUCCAACUGUGGAUAGUAUGCAAGCUUAUAGAUUAUAAUUGAUUAAGUUUAAUUUAUGAAGUAGACACAGAGACUAACAAUAUUAAUGCAAUAUGCAGUUAAAAUAAUAUGCUGCAUUAAAAGUUACAUGAAUGUUCUCU
This is a long non-coding RNA of Peromyscus maniculatus bairdii (prairie deer mouse), 1472 nucleotides long. RefSeq lists it as uncharacterized. Lineage: Eukaryota; Metazoa; Chordata; Mammalia; Rodentia; Cricetidae. The record is from RefSeq and is a predicted model, not a curated record.